This 497-nucleotide ribosomal RNA is filed under the name uncultured bacterium. Its description in RNAcentral is "partial 16S ribosomal RNA". It matches the Rfam family "Bacterial small subunit ribosomal RNA", at positions 28 to 507 of the family's 1533-position model. The record is from RNAcentral.
GAUGAACGCUGGCGGCGUGCCUAAUACAUGCAAGUCGAGCGAACGGACGAGAAGCUUGCUUCUCUGAUGUUAGCGGCGGACGGGUGAGUAACACGUGGAUAACCUACCUAUAAGACUGGGAUAACUUCGGGAAACCGGAGCUAAUACCGGAUAAUAUUUUGAACCGCAUGGUUCAAAAGUGAAAGACGGUCUUGCUGUCACUUAUAGAUGGAUCCGCGCUGCAUUAGCUAGUUGGUAAGGUAACGGCUUACCAAGGCAACGAUGCAUAGCCGACCUGAGAGGGUGAUCGGCCACACUGGAACUGAGACACGGCCCAGACUCCUACGGGAGGCAGCAGUAGGGAAUCUUCCGCAAUGGGAGAAAGCCUGACGGAGCAACGCCGCGUGAGUGAUGAAGGUCUUCGGAUCGUAAAACUCUGUUAUUAGGGAAGAACAUAUGUGUAAGUAACUGUGCACAUCUUGACGGUACCUAAUCAGAAAGCCACGGCUAACUACGUG